Molecule: ribosomal RNA, 255 nt
Filed under: uncultured bacterium
Lineage: Bacteria
Description: partial 16S ribosomal RNA
Rfam family: Bacterial small subunit ribosomal RNA
Source: RNAcentral
UACGGAGGGUGCAAGCGUUGUUCGGAAUCACUGGGCGUAAAGGGCGUGUAGGCGGUCCGCUAAGUCUGAUGUGAAAGCCCGGGGCUCACCCCCCGGAAGGGCAUUGGAAACUGGCGGACUCGAGUCUCGGAGAGGAAGGUGGAAUUCCUGGUGUAGCGGUGAAAUGCGCAGAUAUCAGGAGGAACACCGGUGGCGAAGGCGGGACUCUGGGCCGAUACUGACGCUGGAGGAGCGAAAGCGUGGGGAGCAAACAGG